UACGUAGGGUGCGAGCGUUAAUCGGAAUUACUGGGCGUAAAGCGUGCGCAGGCGGUUCGCCGUGUCCGAUGUGAAAGCCCCGGGCUUAACCUGGGAAUGGCAUUGGAAACUGGCGGGCUGGAGUGUGGCAGAGGGGGGUGGAAUUCCUGGUGUAGCGGUGAAAUGCGCAGAUAUCAGGAGGAACACCAAUGGCGAAGGCAGCUCGCUGGGACGUGACUGACGCUGAGACGCGAAAGCGUGGGGAGCAAACAGG
RNAcentral lists this ribosomal RNA (253 nucleotides) under uncultured bacterium. RNAcentral describes it as "partial 16S ribosomal RNA". It matches the Rfam family "Bacterial small subunit ribosomal RNA", at positions 524 to 776 of the family's 1533-position model. The record is from RNAcentral.